RNAcentral lists this ribosomal RNA (879 nucleotides) under uncultured bacterium. RNAcentral describes it as "bacterial SSU rRNA". It matches the Rfam family "Bacterial small subunit ribosomal RNA", at positions 96 to 953 of the family's 1533-position model. The record is from RNAcentral.
UGGCGAACGGGUGAGUAGCGCGUGGGAAACCUACCCUCGAGCGGGGGAUAACACUCCUAACGGGGUGCUAAUACCGCAUGAAAUCGCCGGGUCGCAUGAUCUGGCGCUCAAAGGUGGCCUCUGCUUGCAAGCUACCGCUUGAGGAUGGUCCCGCGUCCCAUUAGCUAGUUGGCGGGGUAACGGCCCACCAAGGCGACGAUGGGUAGCUGGUCUGAGAGGACGGCCAGCCACACUGGGACUGAGAUACGGCCCAGACUCCUACGGGAGGCAGCAGUCGAGAGGCUUCGGCAAUGGGGGAAACCCUGACCGAGCGACGCCGCGUGAGGGAUGAAGGCCUUCGGGUCGUAAACCUCUUUCAGGGGGGAAGAAAUACGUGCGGUCUAAUACAUCGCACGUUUGACGGUACCUCCAGAAGAAGCUCCGGCUAACUCCGUGCCAGCAGCCGCGGUAAUACGGGGGGAGCGAGCGUUGUUCGGAAUCACUGGGCGUAAAGGGCGCGUAGGCGGCUUGGUAAGUGGAGUGUGAAAGCCCCCGGCUCAACCGGGGAUGGUCGCUCCAAACUGCCUGGCUUGAGUGCGGGAGAGGAGACUGGAAUUCUCGGUGUAGCGGUGAAAUGCGCAGAUAUCGGGAAGAACACCGGUGGCGAAGGCGAGUCUCUGGCCCGUUUCUGACGCUGAGGCGCGAAAGCUGGGGGAGCAAACGGGAUUAGAUACCCCGGUAGUCCCAGCUGUAAACGGUGGGCACUAGGUGUGGGAGGCAUCGACCCCUUCCGUGCCGCAGCUAACGCAUUAAGUGCCCCGCCUGGGGAGUACGGCCGCAAGGUUGAACUCAAGGAAUUGACGGGGGCCCGCACAAGCGGUGGAGCAUGUGGUUCAUUCG